This 36001-nucleotide long non-coding RNA is filed under the name Malus domestica (apple). Its description in RNAcentral is "long non-coding RNA (MDOM_LNC006979)". The stretch from base 6046 to 6129 matches the Rfam family "tRNA". The record is from RNAcentral. Lineage: Eukaryota; Viridiplantae; Streptophyta; Magnoliopsida; Rosales; Rosaceae.
AGCAAAAGGAAUUUCUCCAAAAACUUGGAGGUCCAACUACAAGAAGACAAGUAGUCUGAUACAAUAUGCUUUGUUACUUGUUACUUUUCAUUUUGAUUUUCUUUUUUGUGAUUUUUAGAUGGGGUACCAGAUAAAUCUUGAUUUGAAUCACUGCCUUUUCUUUGACUCUUGUUCUUUAUUUAUCCAGGAGACGAUCCCAAAUAAACAGGUAUGGAAGCUAUAAUUGUAAACCAAGAUCGAAUCUAUGGAAGCAUUGGUUUAUACAUUCCUUUUAGUCUCAACUCUAGGAAUAUUUUUUUUUCGCUAUCUUUUUUUCGAGACCCGCCUAAAGUUCCAACUAAAAAGGUGAAAUGAUUUGUCAUUAUCUCAACUUGACGGGUUCGAGCAAAUAGGCGUUGGGCCAUGUUGGACACAGAACCCGCACACUGCACACUAAGAGCCAGAGACUCCUUAACAUCCAACUCAUCAGACCGCCUGGAAAGUAGUCAGUUAUCUUUGGGAGUGACAAGGUUCCGAGCCAACACCGCAGCGGUCAUAUCAUUCUUCAUCACCGAAUCCCUAACGGUAAGAGGACCAGUAGGGGAUAUGAAGGAUGGGCGCCAUAUGUUGUCUAGAGAAGGCGGGACUGCCUCUUCACCAAGAUUCAAGUCAAAACGACAGUCGGAGGGUCCGGACAUUUUCAAAGUGUUGAAGAAAGAAAAGAUCGGACAAAUCAAGAUCUUAGAAGUGCAAAAAGGGAGUUUUCACAAGCGAAAAUUCAAGUGUGCUUUGAAACGAACUGCAUUCCUCUAUAAAAAAUCAACACUCGACGGGAUUUCAGAGAUCAAAGAGGCGAGCUCAGAAUUCGAAGAGGCCAUUCAAAAAUCGAAGAGGCAAGCUCAGAAAUCGGAGAAGCAUCUUGCUUUUCCAAACGCAUCAGCAUCCAUCACACGCAAACUCAGCUUUGCGGAAAUCACGGGUAAUUUGUCGAAGCUCCAAUCCCAGAUAUCGAAGAGACGCCAGUCUUUUCCAGACACGUCAGCACCUAUCGCACGCAAACUCGGCGUUGCAGAAAUCACGGGUAAUUUGUCGAAGCGCCGAUCCCAGUUAUCGAAGAGGCGCCAGUCCUUUUUUUCAGCCGCGUCAACACCUGUCACAUGCACACUCAGCUUGGCGGAAAUUACGGACAAUUUGUCGAAGAUUUCUGAUAAAGAAGAAAGCACGUGAAGCCAUACUGAUCAAUCACGCAUUGGUUGCCGACACGAGUGAAAGAAUAGUACCUCUACAGGUAUCAAAGAACUUCCUAUAACUGUCCACCUUCACCUUCCAUAGCAAGGCAAACAUACAGAGCCUUUCUUCAUCUCCAAAAAUGCUUUCCCAACGAAGCCUCUCGAGUCAUUCAAUGUUCCUUAUUCCUUGGGGUACCUCUACAAGCCAAUGACUCCAAAGCAAAAGUAUCUCAUAUCACCAGGGUAGAAAGCAAGAGUAUCUCAUAUCAUGCGUUCUCCCUGUCCUUUCCUUUGUCCUUGUUCUUACCUACAAAGACAAGGAUAAAGAAAACAAUAUGCCGGAACUUCCACUCAAACUCGGGUAAAGAACCGACUGCUUGGAACCCUUCCCUAAUUGCCUACCUAGCACUGCUCUCGAGUACUCGUCUCCCACUGCUGCUGUACUUCCAAAGAAGCUACCACAUCUGCCUGAAGAAUAGAUAAGGCAAGUGAAAAUGAUACCUUGCAGCAUGUGGAGACAACGUGCAGAAGGAACAAGCAGAGAAGAAUGCAGUCUGCACAGUCAACUCAGCAGAAGGAGUCCGAGCUGAAGAACUUGAGAAGCUGCCACAUCUGCCUGAAGAAACAAGCAGAGAAGAAUGCAGCAUGCACAGUCAACUCAGCAGAAAGAGUUUGAGAUGAAGAACUCGAGAAGAUGCCGCAUCUGCCUGAGGACGGUGAACUCGUUUUGACCCUCAAAUUCUUGGGUUGACUUACUAGGCGUUGUGGGCUGCACGUGCCGAUUCACCACCCUUGAAUCAAAUCCUUAAAUAUCAAGUCACCAACUGGAAGAAUAGCCCAUCAAUCUUGAAGAUCAUACCGUUGACCAAACUGCUCAGGUGUGAAUUGGAAAGAUUGAACAAAGCAACAAGUAGCCACGACUUCCCCUCGUGCCUGCUUGCCAUGUGUCGAGUCAACCUUCAAGAAUCAAGCCUCGACGACCCUUGAAGAAGUUUCCAGCCAAAUUCAAGAUCAAGCCUCGACGGCCCUGGAAGAAAUCACAAGUCCGAUUCAAGAUCAAGUGUCUACCACUCUUGAAUCAAAACCUAGUUCAAGAAUAAGCUGUGGAAAAUCAACAAUUAGAGGAAUCCAGAAAAUCCUCCAACCCAGUUCAAGAUCAAAGUUAUGGAAAGUCAACAAAGCACAAAAGAACAAAAACGUGCCGAUUCAUCCACUACCAAAGCCAAAGAUCAUCUACCACAUGAAGCUCCUUGUGGUCCAAUUUCAACCUUCAAGAUCAAGUCUCAACGGCCCUUGAAGAAAUUUCAAACAAAAAAAAUUCAAGAACAAGCCUCAACGGCCCUUGAAGAAAUCUCAAGCCCAAUUCAAGAUCAAGCCUCAACGGCCCUUGAAGAAAUCUCCAGCCCCAAUUCAAGAUCAAGCCUCGACGGCCCUUGGAUCGACGUCUACAGUAAGGGACUUCAAAACGCAUCUCCUACACGCGACAAGCACAUGUACACGACGCGUCUUGAAGUGGGGGCAUUUGUAGACAUUGAAAUUUCGGUAAAUAAAUGUUGACCGAUAAAUCAAAGUGUCAACGCUUAUGUAUUACAUAAAUUUUACACGUAGUGUGUGACUCAACGAAAAUUGAAAUGAGUUAGAAAAGUCAUCAAAUAGGACACAUGUCAACACCUGGCAGAAACGACUUAUUUCAUCUGGGAUAUUAUAUUCAAAAUUAGGCCUUGGAAAUUUCUAUAAAUAGAAGGCUAAUUCAUUCAUUUGGGAGGAACCAAAACCAAUUCAUAUUACACCUUGAAGCUCUGAAGCUCUGAAACUCCGAAGCUCUCAAGCAUCCAGGUUCCCGAAGAAUCAAGAAAGCUCUCUUCGUUGUUCGUUCUUCGUUCAUCCUAAGACCAAGCCCCAACGGCCCUUUGGAUCAACAAUCAUCCACCAAUUCAAGAUCAAGCCCCGAUGGCCCUUGAAGAAAGUGUUCUUCGUUCUUCGUUCAUCGCUCUUUCAAGAUCAAGCCCCGACGACCCUUGAAGAAAGCACCAUUGUUCAUCAUCCGUUCAUCCAAGAUCAAGCCCCAACGGCCCUUUGGAUCAACAACGUCGACAAAUCCACACACAUCCAACCGUUCUUCAAGAUUAAGCCCAAAAGCCCUUGAAGAUCUGUUCAUCACUGUUUCUUCAAGAUCAAGCCCAAAAGCCCUUGAAGAUCCGUUCAUCACCGUUACUCAAGAUCAAGCCCCAACGGCUCCUUGAAGAUCCGCUCAAAUCCACCUUCAAAGAUCAAGCCCACGACCCUUUGAAGAAAUUUCCAACAGUUCAUCCAAGAUCAAGCCUCAACGGCCCUUGGAUCAAUCGCACAUCCACCAAUCAACACCUUACGGAGAUCGAAUCAGAGGAUCAAAAUAGAGAGAGAUUGUAACCCAAAAUCAUCAAAUACAAAUAUUUGUUUGUGCACGUUAUUCUUGUCUCUUUCGUUUCAGGAAUUUUCCGUGUUCACAAUCAUCCCUAAUUACUAAUUUAGCAUGCGUAUCUUCUCAAUUUUAGAUUCUUUUUUAUGUGUACCAACCAUGCAUCCUCUCAAAUUUAGAUUCUUUUUUAUCUUCUCAAUUUGAAAUGAUUGUGAGCCCACCUGACAGGGCUUGCAAUUGCAAAGCAACAAGAAGUGAGACGAAUCCAUACAAAUCAAUAACUGAUCAUAUAUCAUCAAGUAGGAUCUUGAAAAUCCAGUCGUUUUAGGUAAAAAGCAUUCCACAUUACAGCAACUGGAGACCCACACACAUGAUCCUCCCCCCUCCUUCCCCAAAAGAUAAAAAAUAAGUUGGCCAAGGCUAGUGAGAAACAGUUAAAAGAAUGAAGAAUAUCAACCAGAAAAAACUCUCCAACCCUAUAUUGCUCUGUUCUUUCUUUUUCUCAAACACAAGUAGUACCACAGAAGGGACCUUUCCUCUGUUGGCUAUACACAUUUCCUACAGAUUCUACAAAUCCUUUCCGUGUGCGUCGUUAAGUGAGGUUUAUGACUUACAACACCACAUCCUUUCUGGUGAAAGUACAACCGAGAGUCGAGCGUGAUCAGAGAGAGUAUAAUCUUCGGGCCAUAUUCCCUUCUCCGCCUCACGGGGAUAUAGAACUGCAUUCUUCACAUUGAAUCCCAGGGAGUCCUGCAUGCCUCGUUUGGACUCCUCUCUACUACCGUUGAGACUUUCCUUAUCCUCUGACGCUGUUGAACUCCAAAUUCUAUUCUGCAAUGCCAAGGGUUUUAGACACGUGAUUUUAAUCUUGUAGUACUUUGGAAGGACUAUUACAUGACGGCAAUGCUAAUGUAAUUCAAAAGGAAAAUAAAUGAAAUUAUUAUGGAUGUAAUGUACCUUAAAUUCUUCGUAAUCAAGAACACCAUUUGCAUCGGCGUCUGCCUGGAUCCAGAGAUCCCUUGUCUCCUGGAAACCUAGUCCCGCAGGAUGACCAAUUAAAUUAACCUGCAAUAUACCUACAUGAGCAAGUCUUAUCUUUCCAUUUGAACUUUAUACAGCUUAAUAGCUAAUAGAACCAACCUGUUGUAGUGCUUCACAGAAAGCUGAGGACGUAAUAAAAUCACCAUGACUAUCACCCUUCAGAAAGGCAAAUGCAUCAUUUUCAGCCAUCGAAGCUUUUCGAAGCUGGCGCUGAAAACCCCAAAAGGAAAAAGGAAGUUAAAUGAUUGCAUGUAGAAACUGUCUAGAGCUUGCAUGCCCUAUAAUAUAAAGGAUCCAAGCAUCUUUUCAAAAGUUUUGAACAAAGCUUUCUGUGCACAAUAUAUCUGAUGAACUACGAUUCUUGCCCUCUGUGGCAAGGUAUCAGAUAGUAGGUAGAGAAAAUGUGAACGGAUGAGUAUUAAUGACAAUAAUAUAGAAUAUGUAAACCGAAUUGCUUACCCGUAAUAUUCAAAAACAGCUUCGCACCAACUAGUCUUUAGUGGUUUUCGUGACUUAUUGACGGCAACGAAAUGCAGCUGCCGCUGUAGCUUCUUGAAAGACUCUCACUUUCUCUGCGAUUAAUCUUUGCCACAUUAGAACCCGCACUUAAACCCUGCAACGACUCAAAAUUUUCAGUAUCCAUUAUCCAAUAAACGAUUUCCUAAGUACCCAUUUUCUCAGAAACCAAAUUCAUGGAAGAAAAGCAGAAGCAAUUGAGAGAAAGAAGAAAGAGACACUAUUUGUUAUAAGUUGAAAUUUUUCGUUGCAGAAAAAUAUAUACCCCACCGGGUGGCCGGGAACUCAUGACACUUACGUUGGGGGGCUUGUGCAUCACAUUUAAUGUGACAAAAAUGUAAAUAUUCAUAUGCUUAUAAAUAUCUUGGCCCACAAAUUGAGGCGUAAUCUUUUUAAGUAUCAAUUUUGAAUGGUAAUGCAGGUCUCCUUCAAACCAUUUUUGACCAAGCAAAAUUUUUGAGGCUGGUUGUGUGGGCUUUAAAGUUACGUAAUACAACCUUUGAACUAGGCUUGUAAACGGGUUGAGUUUAUCAGGUUUGGGUCGAGUUCAAUCUGACCCGUUAAGUUAACAGGUCAUCCAAACUCGACCCAUUAAGCUAAUGGAUCACCCGUUAACAAUUAUUAUUAUUAUUAUUUUACAUAGAGUUUAUUUUUUGUUGUUAAGAUUUUACUGAAAUUAUUAAAAUAUCCUCAACUAACGGGUUGACCCAAAGUGAUCCGUUAGUUAACGGGUUCACCUGUUAGCAACCCGACCCGUCAAGCAUCCACCCAAAUACUAAUAUUAACGGGUCGGGUACAAAAUGCCAGGUCUGCUGUGAACAAGACCCAUACAUUUUGCAUAUUCCGUUUAAAUAUUACGUAACACAACUUUAGAACAACAUUGGGGUGGUGGCGCAGUUGGCUUGCGCGUAGGUCUCAUAGCUUCUGGUGAUCCUGAGGGCGAGAGUUCAAGCCUUUCUCACCCCCAUUUCUUUUUAUCUUUUGCCAUUAUAGGAAAACAAAAACAUUUUAAAUUUCAACUUCUAACAACACGAACAUAGUCUAGUAUUAUUUAUCUUUCAUAAUUUUAAAUGAUAUCUCAAAAGUUCGAAUUUCCAUAUGAUUUUUUUAACAUCUCAACUUCUAACUUCUAACACUAUCAUGGUCUAACAGUAUUUAUCUUUUACAUUUUAAGAAAAUAUCUCAAGAGUUCGAAUCCCCGCUCCCCAAAUGAUUAAACAAAAAAAAAAUAUAUACCGUACUGAGAUUCCAGUACCAGCCAUAAAUCAUUACAUCUGAUCCGUAGAAACAGAAACAUGUCAAACUCCAUAGGCUAUGCCAAAUGUAAACAUUUCAUCACUGCAGAACAUGGCUGGUACUCCCACAUUUUAUAGCAAUAAGCAACCACUAAGUCUGGCAUUACUUUUUGUGUGACGCUCAUCUAGCACCACUGCCCGUAUAAACCUUCUUCCCAAGCAAAAACAAAGAACAAUAUCGCACCUAGAAGUAGAACCGUGUUGAAAAGGUAUACUGAUGGGGGACCUGUUAAUGGGGGGGAAGUUUCCCCGGAAAUGCAAGAACAGCUCAUCCAAUUGCCGGCGGUGGUUGCAUUGUGUGUCUGCUUCAAACCCUUUUCUGUAUUAUUGCCUUGAACCGCCUCUGCGUCUUUGUUAGAUUCUGUUAUAAAGUUCCUCUUCGGGGGGGAAAUCAACAGCAGCUCGACGCUCUGCAGCUACUUUGGCCUGCAAAAAUAAACCAGAUUAAGUUGUGGAAAUAGCCUCUCCAAAGAAACAUUAUUCAUGUUCUCCGUGCUGCAGUUUGGGUUCUCUCACUCACCUUGCUUUGCUGCUGUUCUAAUUCAUUAGGUUUGCCUAGUGCUAAGAGGGCACUUGUUGGAUAUGUUCUUCUGCGUGUUCUCUCACUGUUAUAGUAUUCGUCGGAGGCUAACUGAAUAGAGUUAAUCUGAAGGCUAACUGCAUCUACAUCCACAGAGGAAGCACUCUUUAAUUUUAAGGCAUUAAUGGGUCUUGAUGCACGUCGCAGCCUGCUUGUUAUUUGGUGUGUACCAGAAUCUUCAUCACUGAUUGAUUGAAGACGAUCAGUCUGAGGUUUAGGUAACACAUUGAUAGAGGAAGCAGCCUGUCCUAAGGUCUGGUUACGAAGCAUAACACCUUCCUCUCUUCCGAAGUGGCUCGAACUAGCUUGUGGCACACCAAGCAUUUGUAAACUCGGGCCCUAAAAAAUAAUAAUAAUCAGAAAAUAUGAGCAAGUUUCCAAAGUUGAGCGAAGUUCUAGCAUUUGACCUGUGGAAACCAUAACACAUUGACAAAAUUUGAUUUUAAGAUUCUAUGGGAGAAAGAUUUUUUACCUGUGCAGCUUGAUGUUGUACUUCUGUGUCUGAGUCACUGCUCACUCCACAAUCCGGUAAAUACACCUUCCUAGGUGACUGUGGCAGAGUGGAGUCGUUAAAGACGUUAUUGUGAGUUAUUUCUUCACUGUAACCCUGAUACGGGUCAUCCCCAAAAAGUCCAUUUACGAACUCUUCCAAAUUUUCAUCCAUUCCAUGGUAAUCAUUAUUACCACGCGUAUUUCCAAGCAUAAGAUCCAAUUCCCUCUGAAAAAUGUCCGGAUUUGGUGGUGGCUGAGUACGUUCCUGCAUAGUGAACAACAAGCAAGCAAAGGUUUUGGAUCUGUUUCUUUUGCUCCGAGUAUAUAUAUAUAUAUAUGAAGAAGUUUUAAUCACCAUUCGUGCUCGACAUUCUCACCUCUUCAACAUGCAUAUUACGUGCUGGUUGCAGUUGAUUUUCAAAGUCAGGUGCAUUGUUGUAAUUACUAGAUUCGCCUUCAUCACCGGUUGCAACAUCCGUGUUCUUACCUGAUUUCUUCUUUACGUAACAGAGAACGAAAUCCCUCUGCAAAUAAGUUGGAAAACCAGUUAUGUAAUGAAGUAGCACCAACAGAAAAUUAAACAAGGUUCCAAACCAAAAGCCACUAAACUUUGCAGAGUUACAGAAGAAGCCAAUUUGGCUAGAAGCCGAAUAGACUUGAGUUUCACAACCAAAACCCCUCCAGCCUCCGGUUUACAACUUGCCUCAUACAAUGCUGCAAAUUGCACAUCAUAUAUCGAUAACAAUAUUAACAAGAACCUGAAAAUAGAAAGAGAAUGAUGACCUGAUUAGCAUUAGGAGUGAUUUGAGGGAUGGAAAACUCAUGCAUGACCCAGUUGGUAAUUGGGGCAUUACGACCGCGACCUUGGCGAAAUGUCAGAAUCCUCUUUUUACCGAUAAUUUUGUUGUCUCGAGCCUUGACUAUUUUUUCCUUCCCGGUGCUCUUCCAGAAGCCUGUGGCCGUCGCCCUUUCAACUUCGUUUCUGCUGUUUUUUUUGUAAAUUGGUCGGUUGUAGAAGUACCAUUCAUCAUCCGACUUUAUCAGUGAAAUCUCUGCAUAAAACACAACAUUUGGAUUAAACCAAUUGCAUACACAUUUUUAGACUCAUUCAAAUGCAAACUAAAAUGUAUCAGUAAAAGUGAAGAGUGUUGAGUGCUGAAAUCUCUGACCUUCGUAAAACGGUCACUCGAGAUAAAAAAAUAGUAACUUUAUGAACUGGGAUUGGUAAUAAGUUACGUUUGGAUUAAACCCAAAUACCAAUGGCAAAUACAGAUUAUCAGACUCAUCGGACUAAGAAAAAUAAUGAAAAUUUAAGACCUGGGGCUUUGCAAAUAAUUACCAGGCAAUUCCCUGGGCUCGUAGUUGCAGAUAUUGAUUUCACGGAUGGCGUCGCUGACGAGGGAAUCCUUUCCCCGGAGCUUCAACUUCAAGUAAUGGCUGAUCAGCUCUUCUUCUGUGGGGUGGAAUCGGUAUCCCACUGGCAGUAACAGGCCUUCUACUUCUACUCUAGUGAAGCGGAUUCCAUUGGAAGCCAUCCUCUUUCAUGAAGGAGAAGGGGAAUGCUGGCUGGGUUUUUGUAGGAUUAAGAAAACAAGAGAAACAGUACGGAAAUUGACUUGGUGUUGAUCAAGUCUUCGUGGUUUUCAGCGGACGCUUUUUGCUUAUGGAAGUAACUAUUAAGCUUCGGCUUCUGCUUUUACAUGGUGCGGUGGGGAAUUUUUGUUGUCGUGACUUUUGGUGGGACCCCGGGGAAUCCUACGUGUGGAACUGUUUGCCGUAUGUAUGGCUGGGUGGGUGUGCUUCCUCGGAGAGGACUGAAAAGCUACAGGGAUCAUGAGAAAAUUUUGUAUCCCCUUUUGUCAAUCCAAGAUUAAAUGAGGGUAGGUGUAGGAUAAAGAGUCGAUAAGGUAGAACGAGAAAGUCUAAUUGAGAAAAUCGGUAGCAUUCUCAUGGAGUUAUUUCCAAUUAAAAUAGAUCUCCAUAUAUUGUCACUGUAGACAUCGAAAUUUCGGUAAAUAAAUGUUGACCGAUAAAUCAAAGUGUCAACGCUCAUGUAUUACAUAAAUUUUACACGUAGCGUGUGACUCAAUGAAAAUUGAAAUGAGUUGGAAAAGUCAUCAAAUAGGACACGUGUCAACACCUGGCAGAAACGACUUAUUUCAUCUGGGAUAUUAUAUUCAAAAUUAGGCAUUGGAAAUUUCUAUAAAUAGAAGGCUAAUUCAUUCAUAAGGGGGACCAAUUCAGAUUACACAUUGAAGCUCUGAAGCUCUGAAACUCCGAAGCUCUCAAGCAUCCAGGUUCCCGAAGAAUCAAGAAAGCCUUCUUCGUUCUUCGUUCAUCGCUCUUUCAAGAUCAAGCCCCGACGGCCCUUGAAGAAAGCACCAUCGUUCAUCAUCCGUUCAUCCAAGAUCAAGCCCUAACGGCCAUUUGGAUCAACAAACGUCGACAAAUCCACACAUCCAACCGUUCUUCAAGAUCAAGCCCAAAAGCCCUUGAAGAUCCGUUCAUCACUGUUCUUCAAAGAUCAAACCCAAACACCCUUGAAGAUCCGCUCAUCACCGUUAUUCAAGAUCAAGCCUCAAACGGCCCUUGAAGAAACAUUCAUCCUCAAGAUCAAGCCCCAACGGCUCCUUGAAGAUCCGCUCAAAUCCAACUUCAAAGAUUAAGCCCACGGCCCUUUGAAGAAACUUCCAACUGUUCAUCCAAGAUCAAGCCUCGACGCCCCUUGGAUCAACAAAAUAUCCACAAAUCAACACCUUACGGAGAUCGAAUCAGAGGAUCAAAUUUGAGAGAGAUUGUAACCCAAAAUCAUCAAAUACAAAUAUUUGUUUGUGCGCGUUGUUCUUGUCUCUUUCGUUUCAGGAAUUUUCCGUGUUCACAAAUUGGCACGCCCAGUGGGACAAUCUCUACCUCUCAUCUCUUCCUCCGUUCAAGGAAUAUAAGUACACUUCCAAAAUCAAUGACAUCAAGGAAGGCUCAAGCUGUUCCCAUAACCGGCGCAAAGAACAAAGGCACCCUCGUCGCAAGUGUGUGUCACGUUGGGUAUCACGACUCGAAGCAUGGCAAAAGCUACUUCUGCCGCCUCUUUCACCUCUGCAUCAACUCUGCCAAGGGAACAAAAACACCCAAGGCACGAGCCUUUGAUCACCUUAGCCUCACUAAGGGCACCAAGGGGGGAAAGCCCAAGGAAAUACUCUGAAUCCAUGCUCUCCGAUGCCGAUUCAAGCGACAGUUCAGCCAUGCAAGUCAUGACCAUUGGAGCAACUUCAAUCGAUGAGCAGCUAGCUCAAAUGAAUGAAGCAAUCGCAAGGCUAACCCGAACUGUGGAAGAAAAAGACUUGCAAAUUGCAGCAUUAGUCAACCGACUGGAGGCGCAGGAUGGCGAUAAACCCGACCCAGAGGAUGAUCCACUAAAGGGAGGAGCUGGCGGAGACGAAGAACCCCCAGUGAAGAAAAUCGAUGGGAAGCCGGAGCCAGACCAAGCAGCGGCACUCAUGGGAUCUCUUUCUAUCCAGCAGCUGCAGGAGAUGAUCACCAACACCAUCAAGGCACAGUACGAAGGGAGCUCACAUACCUCCUUGUUCUACUCGAAACCCUAUUCCAAGAAGAUUGAUGCCCUAAGGAUGCCAAGGGGUUAUCAACCACCAAAGUUCAUGCAGUUUGAUGGAAAAGGAAACCCAAAGCAGCACGUUGCACAUUUCGUCGAAACUUGCAACAACGCGGGGACGGAGGGAGACUACCUCGCCAAGCAGUUUGUGCGCUCGCUGAAAGGAAACGUCUUUGAGUGGUACACAGACCUAGAACCUGAGACCAUCAACAGUUGGGAGCAAUUAGAGCGGGAAUUCCUCAACCGCUUCUAUAGCACCCGCCGCACUGUGAGCAUGCUAGAGCUAACAAGCACAAAGCAGUGGAAGGACGAACCAGUCAUUGACUACAUCAACAGAUGGCGCACUCUAAGCCUCGACUGCAAAGACAGGCUCUCGGAAACCUCUUCAAUCGAGAUGUGCAUCCAAGGCAUGCAAUGGGGUUUGCAAUACAUCCUUCAAGGCAUUAAACCACGGACCUUCGAGGAAUUGGCCACCCGCGCCCAUGACAUGGAGUUGAGCAUCGCUCAUCAUGGGAAGAAGGAACCGAUCGCCGACUACAAGAACGACAAAGUUCUUGAGACAAAGGUGGAGAAGGCUGCAUGGAAACCCACCAAGGAAGCAAUGACGGUCAACACAGCUCCCGUCAAGAUCUCCACACGAGGCAAGGCGAUUCAAACCGAAGCUUUUCGUGAUCAAGAGAUGCGUAGACGUACUUUGAAGGAGCUUUAGGAGAAGACUUAUCCAUUCCCCGACUCUGAUGUGGUUGCCAUGUUAGAAGACUUGCUGGAAAAGAAGGUGAUCGGCUUGCCUGAGUACAGACGGCCAGAAGAGAUGAAUCGCACCGACAGUCCAAGGUACUGUAAAUUCCACCGCUUCAUCAGUCAUCCGACAGAAAAGUGCUUCGUGCUGAAAGAUCUCAUCAUGAAGCUGGCUCAAAAAGGAAUCAUCGAGCUAGAUCUUGACGAUGUGGUGGAGUCAAACUAUACCACCUCCACUUUUGGCUCUUCCGACUCAAAGUUUUCACCUCAACCGCUGGGGGCAUCCUCCAAGACAAGCAAAGUUGAAGGAUGGACUCAAGUCACUCCUAAGAAAUUGCACAAGAAGCAUACGUCUCCUCCACAUGUCCGCCAAUUGGAAAGGGGGCAAAGCAGCUCUUGUCAACCUUCAAAGCAACAUGAACGUGUUGAAGAUGAUGAAAUUUUGACACAUAGAUCGUCCAUCCCCAUCACGAUGCGCAAUUUCUUUCCUGAAGACUUCUUCAAUCACUCGGUCAAGGCUCCUUGUUAUGAAGAUUGCGAGGAACGACUCUCUCAGAUCGCUUGACGAACUAAUGCUCCUUGUUCGCACGAGCCUAAACUGCAUGAACCAAAGCUCCUUGUUCGCACGAGCCUAAACUGCACGAACCAACGCUCCUAGUCUGCACGAGCAUAAAAGGCAACACCAACGCUCCUUGUCUGCAUGAGCAUAAAAGGCAACACCAACGCUCCUUGUCCGCACGAGCUUAAAAGGCGACAACAAUUGCUCCUUGCCUGCAUGAGUUGAAACUGCAAAUGGCACCAAAAAGAAAAUACAAAAAAAUAUCUAUGUAUUUGAACUACGUUUACGACCUAAUCUCUUCUUUGGAGGGGUACAUAGGAGGCUUGAAUAUUCAAAAUUUGAGUUCAGUCACACCAAAAUAAGGAAUAAAGAUUUUAUUAAAAGUUUGAUGCUAUUACAAUUUUCUUUGUACAAAAAAAAAAAAAUAAGAGAGAAAAAGAGAUACAUGUUUUAUGUAUUUACAAAAAAAAAAAAAAUAUGUUUUUGUAUUAAAAAAAAAAUAUAUAUAUAUAUAUAUAUAAAGGGCCUCAAAAGAAGCCCCUGUCCAAAACCAGAUCAAAUUAGGCCCAGCUCCCGUAGCCUACUAUCUGCCAAAAUUCUUCAAAGCUCCCAAGCCACUCCCACCUCCUCACGGGCCCAACUCAGCACUCGGCUCUUCAAACCCAGAAGACAUCAAGAAGGGCAGUCUUGUGGUGGUUCUGGUGCACCCAUACUCCGUCCUUGGCGGCUGCGAAGGCCUGUUGAGAGGAAUAGCAGCUGGGGUGGCAGACAGAGGUGCCCCAAUUGCAGGCUCCGCAGUAGAUCAGAUAGAACAAGUCGUGGAGCAUAGUGGCUCGUGAAGCACCAAAAAACAUACAACGACAUCGGGGAGGAGGAGAGGAGGUUCGAGAUCUUAAGGACAACUUGAAGUUCAUCGACGAGUAUAACGCACUGGACCAUCCGUACAAGGUCGGUCUGAAUGCUUUCGCUGACCUGAUCAACCAGGAGUACCGUGCCAAGUUUUUGGGCACCAGGAGUGACCCUAAGCGCAGGGUCAUGAAAACCAAGAACCCGAGCCUGAGGUACGCUUUUCGCGCCGGCGAGACGUUGCCGGAAUCUGUGGAUUAGAGACUCAAGGGUGCCGUCAAUCCCAUAAAAAAUCAAGGAGGUUGCGGGAGUUGCUGGGCUUUUUCAACAGUGGCAGCAGUGGAGGGCAUAAACCAAAUAGUGACUGAAGAAUUGGUGUCUCUCUCUCAGAGCAAGAGCUCGUCGACUGUGACACGUCCUACAACGCCGGAUGCAAUGGCGGUCUCAUGGACUACGCCUUCGAGUUCAUUAUCCUAAACGGCGGCAUUGACACUGAAUCCGACUACCCUUAUCAAAGCCCAAAGGAAUCAUCACCUCCGGAGCCCAAAUCUAUGAAAAGGAGCAGCCCAAAAAACCCUUCUUUCCCAAAGCUCUCCAUCAGAGCCUCCUCCUCCGACUCCAACCCGGCGAACCCAACUCCUUUGGCCACUUCACUGCCUCCAUCAGACAUCAAAUUGUGGUCGUCUACUGCCGUUUCUUCCAGAGGGUUCGACAUGCCGGUGAGUCUUUGUCUGUUUACACAAUGAAGGAACUACAGAAAUCCAACUGGAAGAGCAUCUGGAUCCAGAUUCGAAACCGCCAAAGCACGGAAUCAAAAGCAAUGGAGAUUUCCCGCAGGAGAACGGGGGGCACUGCAAUUAAUCUUCACUCAUUCCUUCCACCGUCGCUCGACUCGGACGCCAUUGCAGACACCAUAAAGUCCUUUUUUUCCCAACAAUUGCGGAGAAGACGAUCACUUUCCCUGGUUCGGGGUGGAGUGCUCGGAUGGAAAAGUGGUCAUCCUGAAUUUAAGAGAUAUUUUCGUCUUAGUAGAACGUUGGCCCAUGAUUUAGGAUUUCUUGGUUCCAUAUCUCCUGAACUCCACCAAUUGAAGAUGCUUUUGGAAUGCCAGGUAGAUCAGGAUCAACGACUGACAGUUGCCGCUUUCUGAACGAGCAGAUCUAUCAGCUGGAAGCUCAGGAGGCUCAGUCUCUGAUGCCAAACCAAGUGCCUCUUCCUCUGGAGCGUCAACUGCCAAGGUAUCGACUGACAAGUACCAAAAUUCUGCUGUUGUAGCUGGUGUUAUAACUACUACUGCUUCUCUCGGUUGGUCUCCCAAAGCUAGUCGAAAGAAGGAAGAAGUGCAAGACUGAGGUUGUGACUUGGGUUGGUGCUGCAGGAUCCAUGCUUUCCAUCUUCUCCAUCCUCAUCCUCCUUCAAUCCAGAUACAUAAUGUUGCAAGGCCCCUUCCCAUUUUUGUUGCCAAUAAUGUCACUAGUUUUACGCUUGUGCUUGAGUUCAACAAGAGCAAGCUGCAGAACUUGUACUAAAAAAGGGAUGGGUGCUCCAAAUGUUCAGGAAGCUCCACCGCAAAAAAAAAAAAAAAAAAAAAAAAAAAAAAAAAAAAAAAUAUCUCUGCACAUCCGUGGUGGUCCCUGCCAAGCUCAGCCUGCUCUCCGCCAUCACCUUCUCCGACUGCAUUGCGCAAACCUCCAGCGAGUCGAACAUGGUCCAGUAGUAGUGCAGCGCCUUCGUAAACCGGUCCAAAAAGUUGGGUUUUGUUAUGGUCUGCUUCCUGCUCCACUAACCACCCCUCGUACGUCAACAUCACUUCAUCGUCGGUCCUCCAGCUGCCUGACGACUUGCUGUGCUCGGUGGCUGGCCUCAAUGACAGUGCAAGGAUGACAGGCAGUGCAAUGGUGUGCAGCAGGCAGUGCAAUGGUGCAGCGACGGCGGUGCAGCAAGGACAGCAGAACGUGAGCAACCCGGUUCGAUACAUCUUCUUCUUCCUCUCUACCGUCGGUUUGGUUGAAAGUUAUGGCCCUUCUACUAUGCGAUGAAGUGGGAGAAGGCAGCAAUUCUUUUAUAAAGCCACAAGAGGCAAAGUGGAAUACCCGUGCUUUCCACUUUGCUUCUCCGUCGAAGAAUCAUUCUUCUGGGUUCUCAAGAAUAAAAAAUAAAAAAAAUAAAAAAUAAAAAGAAAGAAAAAGAUAAAUAUAUAAAAAGAGUGAUGGUGCAUCUGGCACCAUGUGAAAGAAAAGAAAGAAAAAAAUAUAUAAAAAGAGUGAUGGUGCAUCUGGCACCAUGAGAAAGAAAGAAGAGAAAUAAAAAAAAAUAUAUAUAAAGAGGAAUGGUGCAUCUGGCACCACGUGAAAAAAAAAGAGGGAAUGGUGGAUCACACCAUGUGAAAAAAUAGAGGGAAUGGUGCAUCUGGCACCAAACAAAAAAAAAAAAAAAAAAAAAGAGAGGGAAUGGUGGAUCAGUCCACGUGAAAAUAUAUAUAUAAUAUAUGUAUAUAUACAUAAAAAAUAUAUAAAAAAUAUAAAAAAAAACAAAAACAAAACAAAUGCAUUGAGAGAAAUAAAAUCUAUUUUUAUUUAUUUCUCUGGAAAAAUUACAUAAAAUUGCAUUCUACAAAAAAAAAAAAAAAAAAAUACAAAUGUGCAAGCAGCAAACAUAAGGGGCCUUCAUUGAUCAGAUGGCGCCUUAUCACUCGGUGGAACUCCGGGAAGAAGAGGAGCCGGAGGUUGAUCAUUUGGAACUUCACUACGCGGUACAGCCCCAGAAGACGAAGGCAAAUGUUGUUGGAACAAACCCACAAACCUCUGAUGAUCAAGUAAAAUCUGACCAUCAGAUUCCUGCAUCUGGUCAAUCUUCCUCUUCAUGUUUGUCGCAUAGCUAUGUGCGAGCUUAUGCAACUGUUUAUUCUCCUGCUUGAGCCCUCUAAUCUCCUGUUUGAGACUCAUCACUUCAGCCGCCAAUGAUUCAACUUGACGGGUUCGAGCAAAUAGGCGUUGGGCCAUAUUAGACACAGAACCUGCACACUGCACACUGAGAGCCAGAGAAUCCUUAACAGCCAACUCAUCAGACCGUUUGGAAAGUAGUCUGUUAUCUCUGGGAGUGACAAGGUUCCGGGCCACCACCGCAGCGGUCAUAUCAUUCUUCACCACUGAAUCCCCAACGGUAAGAGGACCAGUGGGAGAUAUGAAGGAUGGGCGCCAUAUGUUAUCUGGAGAAGAAGGGACUGCCUCUUCACCAAGAUUCAAGUCAAAACGACGAUCGGAGGGGCCAGACAUUUUCAAAGGUGUUAAAGAAAGAAGAGAUCGGACAAAUCAAGCUCUUAGAAGUACAAGAGGGGAGUUUUCACAAGCGAAAAUUCAAGUGUGCUUUGAAACGAACUGCAUGCCUCUAUAAAAAAUCAGCACUCGACGGGAUUUCAGAGAUCGAAGAGGCGAGCUCAGAAUUCGAAGAGGCCAUUCAAAAAUCGAAGAGGCAAGCUCAGAAAUCGGAGAAGCAUCUUGCUUUUCCAGACGCGUCGGCACCCGUCACACGCAAACUCAGCUUUGCGAAAAUCACGGGCAAUUUGUCGAAGCGCCGAUCCCAGAUAUCGAAGAGGCGCCAGUCUUUUUCAGCCACGUCAACACCCAUCACACGCAAACUCAGCUUUGCGGAAAUCACGGAUAAUUUGUCGAAGCGCCGAUCCCAGUUAUCGAAGAGGCGCCAGUCUUUUUCAGCCGCGUCAACACCUGUCACAUGCACACUCAGCUUGGCGGAAAUUACGGACAAUUUGUCGAAGAUUUCUGAUAAAGAAGGAAGCACGUGAAGCCAUAUAGAUCAAUCACGCAUUGGUUGCCGACACGAGUGAAAGAAUAGUACCUCUACAGGUAUCAAAGAACUUCCUAUAAUUGUCUACCUUCGCCUUCCAUAACAAGGGAGACAUACAGAGUCUUUCUUCAUCUCCAAAGAUGCUUUCUCAACGAAGCCUCUCGAGUCAUUCAGUGUUCCUUAUUCCUUGGGGUACCUCUGCAAGCCAAUGACUCCAAAGCAAAAUUAUCUCAUAUCACCAGGGUAGAAAGCAAGAGUAUCUCAUAUCAUGUGUUCUCCCUGUCAUUUCCUUUGUCCUUGUUCUUACCUACAAAGACAAGGAUAAAGAAAACAAUAUGCCGGAACUUCCACUCAAACUCGGGUAAGGAACCGACUGCUUGGAACCCUUCCCUGAUUGCCUACCUAGCACUGCUCUCGAGUACUCGUUUCCCACUGCUGUUGUACUUCCAAAGAAGCUACCACAUCUGCCUGAAGAACAGAUAAGGCAAGUGAAAAUGAUACCUUGCAGCAUGUGGAGACAAGGUGCAGAAGGAACAAGCAGAGAAGAAUGCGGUCUGCACAGUCAACUCAGCAGAAGGAGUCCAAACUGAGGAACUCGAGAAGCUGCCACAUCUGCCUGAAGAAACAAGCAGAGAAGAAUGCAGCAUGCACAGUCAACUCAGCAGAAAGAGUCUGAGAUGAAGAACUCGAGAAGAUGCCGCAUCUGCCUGAGACGGUGAACUUGUUUUGACCCUCAAAUUCUUGGGUCGACUUACUAGGCGUUGUGGGCUGCAUGUGCCGAUUCACCACCCUUGAAUCAAAUCCUUAAAGACCAAGUCACCAAUUGGAAGAGGAGCCCAUCAAUCUCGAAGAUCAUACCGUUGACCAAACUACUCAGGUGUGAAUUAGAAAGAUUGAACAAAGCAACAAGUCGUCACCUUCACCUCGUGCCUGCUUGCCGUGUGUUCGAGUCAGCCUUCAAGAAUCAAGCCUCAACGGCCCUUGAAGAAGCUUCCAGCCAAAUUCAAAAUCAAGCCUCGACGGCCCUGGAAGAAAUCACAAGUCCGAUUCAAGAUUAAGUGUCUACCACCCUUGAAUCAAAACCUAGUUCAAGAAUAAGCUGUGGAAAAUCAACAAUUGGAGGAAUCUAGAAAAUCCUUCAACCCAGUUCAAGAUCAAAGUCGUGGAAAGUCAACAAAGCGCAACAAAAUAUGUGCCGAUUCACCCACUACCAAAGCCAAAGAUCAUCUACCACAUGAAGUUCCUUGUGGUUCAAUUUCAACCUUCAAAAUCAAGCCUCGACGGCCCUUGAAGAAAUUUCAAACAACAAUUCAAGAUCAAGCCUCAACGGCCCUUGAAUCGACAUCUACAGUAAGGGACUUCAAAACGCAUCUCCUACAUGUGACAAGCACAUGUAUACGACGCGCCUUGAAGUGGGGGCAUUUGUAGACAUCGAAAUUUCGGUAAAUAAAUGUUGACCGAUAAAUCAAAGUGUCAACGCUCAUGUAUUACAUAAAUUUUACACGUAGCAUGUGACUCAAUGAAAAUUGAAAUGAGUUGGAAAAGUCAUCAAAUAGGACACGUGUCAACACCUGGCAGAAACGACUUAUUUCAUCUGGGAUAUUAUAUUCAAAAUUAGGCAUUGGAAAUUUAUAAAUAGAAGGCUAAUUCAUUCAUAAGGGGGACCAAUUCAGAUUACACAUUGAAGCUCUGAAGCUCUGAAACUCUGAAGCUCUCAAGCAUCCAGGUUCCCGAAGAAUCAAGAAAGCCUUCUUCGUUCUUCGUUCAUUGCUCUUUCAAGAUCAAGCCCCGACGGCCCUUGAAGAAAGCACCAUCGUUCAUCAUCCGUUCAUCCAAGAUCAAGCCCCAACGGCCCUUUGGAUCAACAAACGUCGACAAAUCCACACAUCCAACCGUUCUUCAAGAUCAAGCCCAAAAGCCCUUGAAGAUCCGUUCAUCACUGUUCUUCAAAGAUCAAACCCAAACACCCUUGAAGAUCCGCUCAUCACCGUUAUUCAAGAUCAAGCCUCAAACGGCCCUUGAAGAAACAUUCAUCCUCAAGAUCAAGCCCCAACGGCUCCUUGAAGAUCCGCUCAAAUCCAACUUCAAAGAUUAAGCCCACGGCCCUUUGAAGAAACUUCCAACUGUUCAUCCAAGAUCAAGCCUCGACGCCCCUUGGAUCAACAAAAUAUCCACAAAUCAACACCUUACGGAGAUCGAAUCAGAGGAUCAAAUUUGAGAGAGAUUGUAACCCAAAAUCAUCAAAUACAAAUAUUUGUUUGUGCGCGUUGUUCUUGUCUCUUUCGUUUCAGGAAUUUUCCGUGUUCACAGUCACUUCUCAUAUUUAUUUAUGAAAAUUUUGUGUUUGCUUAAGAAAUACUAGAUACAUAACUUUAGAGAGUAUUUCUUAAGGUAUAAGUUGUUGGAAAUUCUUUGGUUGUAACAUGAGAUUCGUCUCAAUAUAUUUAUCUCACUAAUUACUUAAUUCACUUAAGCAUGGUUACUCUUACUUGCAAUAAUCUUUCUAAUAGUUUAGCUUGAUUUAGUUUAUAGAUUCCAAAACAAAUUGCGAGUCUCAAGAAGUUGUUUUAGGACGGUAGUAAACGAGAGAUUUGUUAAUGUGUGUUUAAAAUACAAAAUGAAUAUAACAUAUCAUUAUACUAUUAGAGAAACACUUGAAAUAGAUUUUGUCUCAUCAAAAGACAUAAGAUGAAUCACUCGUUAAUAAAAAUAACAACGAUUGACGAGGCUACCCUUUGAUUUGAUUGUGUGAGUCCACCGUUUCCUCUCAUCCCAUGUCCCUUGUAAUAAAGGUUUUCUUGUUGAUCAAGUACUUGUUUGAACUUGGAGCAAAUGUUUCCACUUCUUGGGUAGAGAUUAUGACUACCUCAGUUUCUUGUUGAUCAAGUACUUCUUUGAGCAAUGUUCCAUCGACUGGCAGAACCAAUCUAUAAAAGCAUAGAACUUGUAGCUAAUGGGGCCGUAGCUCAUGAUUACUUUGUGACUUCAUCUCUCAUUCCAAUGCUACAACUUACAACCAGGUAAAUAUUGUUUGAUAAACCCCAUGAUCAAAAUUUUGUUCCAAUAGAAUCGCUAAAUGAGCAGACAAUUGUUUACGCAUGAUUCUUUUAGACGCAUUAAAAUAAGAGGUGUGCUAUCCACACCUCAUUUUAUUUCUCAUACCCCUCUUGAUAAUUUCUGUCCUUUGAUCUUCUUUAAUUUAUCCAAUCCGACGGCUGAAAAUUAAAAAUAUGUGUGAGAAGUAAAAUGGGGUGUGUGGAUAUCACACCCCUAAAAUAAUAUAUAAGUUGUUUUAGGCUUAACAUUUGAGACUUGAAAAGCCCACCAAAGGAUGAGAAAAUCAAGACAUAGGGCCUCCAAGCCAGCAAAAGGAAUUUAGAUAAUAGAGUGCCACCACGAGAAAGAAAGACAACUGCCUUCAACAACUGCAUGUAGCCCCGUCUACCAACAAGAAGAGAGGUGCAUAGAACUUAAAGCACUUUCUGACCGCUCAAGCCAGUUGGCAGGCUUGACAAUUUUCUAGCAUGGAGCUUCAUGACAGGUACGUCCAGACGUCAACUUCGAACCAUGUGUUGGCCAUCGACGAGAAAAGAAAUAUAUGAAGAAAUAUAAAUGUUGUCAAGCUUAGCGCUCAGUCCUUAAUUCUCGUCUAGUUUGUUCACAAAAAACAAAAGGACGAGAUAAAAACGGAUGUGUAGAAAUCAUCCCUAAUUACUAAUUUAGCAUGCUUAUCUUCUCAAUUUUAGAUUCUUUUUUAUGUGUACCAACCAUGUAUCUUCUCAAAUUUAGAUUCUGUUUUUAUCUUCUCAAUUUGGAAUGAUUGUGAGCCCACUUGACAGGGCUUGCAAUUGCAAAGCAACAAGAAGUGAGACGAAUCCAUACAAAUCAAUAACUGAUCAUAUAUCAUCAAGUAGGAUCUUGAAAAUCCAGUCGUUUUAGGUAAAAAGCAUUCCACAUUACAGCAACUGGAGACCCACACACAUGAUCCUCCCCCCUCCUUCCUCAAAAGAUAAAAAAUAAUUUGGCCAAGGCUAGUGAGAAACAGUUAAAAGAAUGAAGAAUAUCAACCAGAAAAUACUUUCCAACCCUAUAUUUGCUCUGUUCUUUCUUUUUCUCAAACACAAGUAGUACCACAGAAGGGACCUUUCCUCUGUUGGCUAUACACAUUUCCUACAGAUUCUACAAAUCCUUUCCGUGUGCGUCGUUAAGUGAGGUUUAUGACUUACAACACCACAUCCUUUCUGGUGAAAGUACAACCGAGAGUCGAGCGUGAUCGGAGAGAGUAUAAUCUUCGGGCCAUAUUCCCUUCUCCACCUCACGGGGAUAUAGAACUGCAUUCUUCACAUUGAAUCCCAGGGAGUCCUGCAUGCCUCGUUUGGACUCCUCUCUACUACCGUUGAGACUUUCCUUAUCCUCUGACGCUGUUGAACUCCAAAUUCUAUUCUGCAAUGCCAAGGGUUUUAGACACGUGAUUUUAAUCUUGUAGUACUUUGGAAGGACUAUUACAUGACGGCAAUGCUAAUGUAAUUUCAAAAGGAAAAUAAACGAAAUUAUUAUGGAUGUAAUGUACCUUAAAUUCUUCGUAAUCAAGAACACCAUUUGCAUCGGCGUCUGCCUGGAUCCAGAGAUCCCUUGUCUCCUGGAAACCUAGUCCCGCAGGAUGACCAAUUAAAUUAACCUGCAAUAUACCUAUAUGAGCAAGUCUGAUCUUUCCAUUUGAACUUUAUACAGCUUAAUAGCUAAUAGAACCAACCUGUUGUAGUGCUUCACAGAAAGCUGAGGACGUAAUAAAAUCACCAUGACUAUCACCCUUCAGAAAGGCAAAUGCAUUUUCAGCCAUCGAAGCUUUUCGAAGCUGGCGCUGAAAACCCCAAAAGGAAAAAGGAAGUUAUAGGAUUGCAUGUAGAAACUGUCUAGAGCUUGCAUGCCCUAUAAUAUAAAGGAUCCAAGCAUCUUUUCAAAAGUUUUGAACAAAGCUUUCUGUGCACAAUAUAUCUGAUGAACUACGAUUCUUGCCCUCUGUGGCAAGGUAUCAGAUAGUAGGUAGAGAAAAAUUGAACGGAUGAGUAUUAAUGACAAUAAUAUAGAAUACGUAAACCAAAUUGCUUACCCGUAAUAUUCCAAAAACAGCUUCGCACCAACUAGUCUUGAGUGGUUUUCGUGACUUAUUGGGAUUACAAAGCCAAAUGAAGUCAACACCGCAGAUGUUUCCCCUAUGAUUGCGGUGGCUAACCCACUAUAGGAUAGAAAAUACAAAUAUUCCGUUAAUAAAGAUGAUGAGCAUUGUAUAGAUGGGCCCUGUGGCAGCCAGUAAAUCACUGAUUUCAGAAUUGAAAUCCAGAAAACACCAACCUUGUGAGCAUCCGCAUCGGUAUAUUGAUGAGCAGUAUCAUAUGUUGAUUCAAAACCCUGUGAUCUAAGGAAUUUGUACACAUGGCCUUGCUUACUUCCAUUCCAGUCACUGCAUCGAGAAUAACAAAAAAAGAAAUACAAAUAUAAGAACUACCAUCCUACACAAAAGAAUACAACCAGAGAAAGCCUACCAUUUAUUAAAAUUCCAUUGUUUGUGAAGGCGGCCUUCAAAAGGAUUUACCAGUUAGGAUAGCUAGCACCUUCAAAAGGCAGGAGACUCACCCACAGAGUACGAUAGGCAUCGGGUUUAGCAUCUUUUCAUUCUGAUAUGACUCCACAAAUUGCAAAAUUUUGUAAACCUAUUAAAAAAUUUCCAGAAAUGGGUUAGAGUGAUUGCUAGUGGAGCUUGUUCAAAUAAGUUGACAAUUAUUUGCCAAAGUUGAUAACUUGUUUGGAAACUCUGAAUACCUGAUGCAAUCGUACUAUAGAGAGACUGGAAUCAUGAGGAAACAACAAAUGAGUAUUCACAAUUAGCAUUUCUUGUUGAACGUUUCCUCUCUGGUUUUGUGAAAAUGGGGUAGCUAACUGAACAUGUAAUAGCUGAGCAACACGGUCUCCAAAAUCAUUAAAAUGCAACUCUCGGUAGUUUCGAACACUAAAACAGUCCCUCCUCACAGCAGUCAGCAAACCUGUAUAGAGAAAAUACAAUAAGUCAAGCCAUAGAGCAUGGAAUAGACUUAAAAGGCUCAUUUUAAUCAUGACAACACUCGCAAAACAAGAAAUGAGUUGAUAUCAAACUUGAGGACCAUUCUAAGACACAACCUCUUUGGAAACGCUAGCCGAUAUAUGAAGAACUAGUGGAAGAACUCUACAAUAACUUAGACUGCUAAAUUGUACUGGGAAAAGAUAAAAAAGAAAGGCCAAUUCAACUGCAAAGUGUUGUGACAAAGCACUCCAAUGCAUGAAACAUGAACCCAUGUGUGCAGAAUAAUGUACAUUCUUUUCUCAGAACUUUCAAGUUGUUCAGCAUCUGACUUAUAUUGCAGUUGUGAACUUGGAAUUAACAUAUGAAUGUGAGUUUAAAAAACCGCACAUUUUUCCCAUGAAGCAAUGCAAUAAUGAGAUUUAACUAAACUCGAAUGAUGCCAGAUAAGUCUAAUGUGCAAUGCAAUAAUGAGAUUUAACUAAACUCGAAUCCAGAUAAGUCUAAUGUAUUAAAAUCGAUAUUAAGGGGAAUAGAUUCAAGAUAGCAAUAUACCAUCUCCCCGGUUGUUAGUUCGGGCGAGCUUAAAGGUAGUAUAGCCUGCUUCACCAAGCCUGUCCAGGUACAUAUUCACAAAUUCUUCAUUUCCAACCCAGAACUCCUAAUAUUGCAAAAAAUGGGUUAGUGUCAGCACAUAAGCACAUAUAGUUGGAAAGGACCAUGACCCUUAAAACCUCAUACAAGUGCAAUUUGUUCUCAUAUACAACAAGGGGUAUUUCGUUUGAGGUCCAAAAAAGCAAAAGGGUAAUCAAAUAUCACCUGCAGACAAAUAAUGGCAGAUGAUUCACAGAGCAACCAAUCCAAAAUCCUCUGGUUCCUGGCCACCCAAAACGCCCCGUAGUCGCUCUCUCUAAGGCUUUGAUUCUGUUUCACACACACCACAAAGAAACUGAGAAAACAAACUCAGAUAAACUAAGUCCGUUUGAUAACCACUUCGUUUUGAGAGUACAAACGGCUCUAAAAACGAAAUAGUUAUCAAACAAAGUGACUCUAAAAACGAAAUAAUUAUCAAAUCACAGACAAACGCAAAUGGGAUAGAAUAGGACCUGUUGAUCGAGUCUUUUGUAGAUUGGAGCCAAAAUAUUGAAAGUCGUGCACGAGACUAAGCAAGGCCCUGCCAAAGUCUCUGGCUUUGGCUCUGCUAUCGACGGCAACGAAAUGCAGCCGCCGCUGUAGCUCCUUGAAAGACUCUCACUUUCUCUGCGAUUAAUCUUUGCCACAUUAGAACCCGCCCCUAAACCCUGCAAAGUCUCAAAAUUUUCAGUACCCAUUAUCCAAUAAACGAUUUCCUGAGUACCCAUUUUCUCAGAAACCAAAUCCAUGGAAGAAAAACAGAAGGAAUCUAGAAAGAGAAAGAAGAGAGAGAUACCAUGCUAAAAAUCCUUGCCACUGUAACUGUUUCUGAUACAAAAGUUGCUAAAUUUCGAGUAGUUCUGAUUAACAAGAUGAAACGAGUGAUGGGUUUGCUUCCAAUUUUGCAAUAACUUUCAAGUUAUUAGAAGUUGUGGAGAUUGAAGAGCAAUGUGGUUGGAUUUUUUGAUGAACUGCGUUACUUAUAGCAAAAUGCGGGCAUGAAAAAUAAAGGUUGGAACUUUAAUUUUGUCGUCCGCGUUGGAAGAUAGAAGUGAAAGGAAUUGGAAGCUUGUGUGGUGGGGACCAUACCGAAGGUUCUGCUUCUAUCUUAACCAAGAAUAUUGAGGCUGUCCAGCUAGACCUUGUGCUGUAAUUGCAAUCUUAAAAUAUGAAGGAAUUGAAGAAGAUCCUUCUGACCCAUUAACCUGGACCGUUGAAUUUUAAUUCAACGGUUACAAUUAUUAUAAAUGUCUUCCUCAAUCUUCUCACUUUAAAUAAUCAAAUCAACCAUUUGGCAAUUGCAAUUUGCAAGCGUGUGUCCUACUCCUACUCCAACUAGCAUAAAGUGGCACAGAUUCUUACAAUUUUAGAUGCAACUGUGACGGUGUAAACCAAAUUCAAUAGCAAUUCCACUUAGAAAAUGAUUUUUGCACAUUCAUAUUCUUUUUUAUGUACGAAUAAUUGUAUUUUUCUGUUAGAUUUUUUAAGGUGUGUGAGGAAAUUAAUUUUCUUUAGUUUAUGUCAUCUUGUAAUGAUUUGAGCAUUAGGGUUAAUCAUUAAGUGCAAUUUGAGUUCAACCACCUAUACAUUAUAUGUUUCACUUGCAUCACAGACCAAAAUUAGCCUCCGAAUUUUGUGGCUUGAAACCUAGCGCUGCAACUACCACUGAGUAGUCCAGUAGUUGGUGACGAAUUCCAGGCCUGUAUUUCACACGGCACAUCCUAAGUUCGAUUCCUAUCGCUAGUGAAUCGCACAAUGAUGAUCAAGAGGAGGUUGAAAUGCCCAUAUGAGUCUUCUCGAAUCCCGAAAGGGUAAACUGCCAUUACGAAGCUACCAGGUAUCCUUUUGGUAAAAACAAAAAAAAAAAAAAAACAACCCUAGCACUGCUCUUUGACACAUCAGCAAAUCCAUGUUAGGCCCUAAUUUAUCCACAUUACGCCCUGUGUAUCUUUUGGUAAAAAACAAAAACAAAAAAAAGCCCUAGCGCUGCUCUUUGAUACAUCAGCGAAUCCACGUUAGGCCCUAAUUUAUCCACGUUACGACCUGUGUAUCAAUAUGGCUCACCCUGUCAAUUGUUUUUUUUUAUGCUCACUUUAAACAUGAUUAUCAUGAAAGCAAGACAUUAAUACCUUAAAAACAAAAAUAAGAAGUCAAGUAAAGUGGUAUAGCUUACCCUUAAAAUAAAAUUUCCUGAAUCUACCAUUAGUCACGCAAUUUAAUUUCAACUUUCUUUCAACCUUGAUGGGUAAGAAUUUAUUAAAUAAACCCAAAAUAGUACUAUGUCACAUGAAAUGAACCCAAACACGGGGCCGAAAGAAAAAAGAGAAAUAAUGAUUUGUCACAAAAAUCUUGUACCGAAAGCCGAAACAUGUGUACGUACUGGACUACUACUAGUUGCACCUUAAACGCGCAAAAAACAUGACAAGACACCGCGUCGGUGACGUCUGUGCAUUUGUCGGUCCAUCAUCAUUGAUAACCCUUUUAUUUUUAUUUUUCUUUUAUUUUUCAUUUUUCUUGGGAGGGGACGUUUUAUAUUUUAGGGUUUUGUUAAACCACUUGGAUUAUUAUCCUGCUUGGAUGUCAUUCUCAUCUCCUUCUAUUUGUGCGGUAUCAGUUAAGUCACGUCAAUAUUUUAUAUUAAUUUUUUUUAUAAAGAUAAUAAGACAAAAAAUAAUAAGAAUAUAAAAUGUUGACAUGACUUAAUCGUAACCGCACAAAUAGAAAGAGAUGGGAAUGACAUCCAAACAGAAGUGCAGACAAUCUGCCUCCUAUAUACUCCCCAACCCUAAGCCAGGUGUCUCAAAGUGCAUUACAUUACAAAAAAAAAAUUAUUUUGAAAUAUAGGGUCAAAACUAAUAAUUAGUGGUAUGUUUGAUUAUUUCUGUAUUUACAAUAAUGUUAUUGUAAACUAAUUUAUCCACAAGAUAAUAGUAUUAUAUGGAACAAUUUCCUGAGAAAAUAGUAUUGCGAAAACAAUAUAAUAAAAUUGCAAUGGAUGUGUUUAAGGUAACAGUCAUCCAAUUAACGUCUAGGCGUUUAUAAAACUAAAAAAGCACCUAUAUUGCUUAGGUCAUAACUUUUAUUUAAACAAAAAAUAGAUAACUUUCAUUUUAUAUUUUAUUUUAUCGAAAAACUGUAAGUGACUUGUUGAAUACUUAGAUGAACACUCAUUAUAUCAUUAUUCCCCAUGUUUUAUAUGUUUAAUACUUUAUAUCUAUAUGUCACUUUAUUUUACAAUUUAUGAAUUCCAUACAAUUAUGUAUUUGUUAAAGUUUUAAGUAGACAUUUAUUUAUGUUAUAUAAUAAAUUUAGCUGAAACUGAAAAAAAAUCGCAUAAAUCCUUCUAGACAUCUAGGUACUAGACCUCCUCCAAGUUCCCGACUAACGGUUUUUUAAAGUUUAAGCAACCUUGCUUACUACUUCUUUAGAGGAAUAUUUUUGCUUUAAAACAAUAAUUUCAAAUUUCAAUGGGCAGUUCGAGUAAAUCGAUAUUUUCAACUAUAAAGUCAGGUUAAACCGUUCAAGUCUUCAAGAAAACGUCUAUAUAUCACUUUCAUCAUAUUUACUUACUGUAAAUAUGAUUGCACACGGACUGGCUACUUUAUGAGGCCGAAAGAAAAAAGAGAAAUAAUGAUUUGUCAAAAAAAAUCUUGUACCGAAAGACGAAGCAUGCGUAAGUACUGGACUACUACUUAUUGCACCUUAAACAUGAGUACCUAACAGUUAUGAUCAAGGUCUGAAAUGCCGAUAUUAUCGACGAUAUUUCGCUGAUAAUAUCGAUUUUUUGAGUUACCGAUAUUUUAAUACUUAUCCACUGAGUUUUCGUCAAAAUAUCGCGAUAUUAUCGACAAAUGAACUCGGCGGCCUCCUUGUGCUCGGCGCCGGUCUUGAACUUGGCAAGAUAACGGUGGUAAUCGCCCUUCAUCUUGAGAUAAAAGACCUUGGAAUCGCCGCCGAUGGCGGAGGGGAUGAGCCUGGAGUCGAGGAGCUUGAGAAUGUUGUUGCAGAUGUUGGAGAGCUAGGUCUCGAUCUUGGAUUGGUAGUCACGGAUCGUGGCAAUGUGGUCGUCGUUGUCGCGACUCUCCUCCUUUUGCUCGAUGGAGGAGAUGAUGCGCCAGGAGGCACGGCAGGCACCGAUGACGUUCUUGUAGGCGACGGAGAGGAGGUUGCGCUCCUCGACGGUGAGCUCCUCUUUAUAGGCGGAGGCGGAGACCUUCUCGACGAACUCAACCAUCUCCUCGUAACGCCCGGCUUGCUCAGCCAACUUGGCCAUGUAGACAUUCUCUUCGCGAGGGGAGGGGGUGGUUGCCGCCAUUGUUGUUAGGGUUCGGAGGUCGAUGGAGGGGUUGGAUCUGGAGAUCUGAAAAGGAUUGUGUGAUUUUUGGUAGGGGAAGGAGAGGAGAGAGGUUUGAGGUUCGAGGGGAAAUGGGGGUGUUAUUUUUGGGAGUAGUGGAGCGAUAAUUGCGUUGGGAGGAGGGGAGAUGUGGGCCGUUGGAUUUGUACCGGCCUUGUUCCCCAAUUGGAUGGUGUGGAAGUAGCAGCUGGCAAAGCACCUUUUUUUUGUUAAAUUUUAAUUUUUUUUUUUUUUUUUUUUUAUAAAUCCUUGUGGUAAUAAUAAAUAUCGAUAUUAUCGGCGAUUCGUUUUUGUGAGAGGACGAUAUUUUCACACUUAUCCACUUAAUUACGCGAGAUGAAACCCAAAAAUACUUGAAAAAUGCUGAAAAGUCUCAAUCUUGCGCAUAAAGGGAUUCGAACCCCUCCCUUCGUAUAAAGUGUAAAAUAUUGUACUAAUUCAUUAUAUAUAAAUGAUUAUGGUGUGUUAAACUUCUUUCAUUAAUUACUACAUAUUUUCUACAAUCACAAUGUUUGCUAGCUCGCUAUAUAAUCAACUUAAAUCAGUUAAAUCCAUCAUGCAAUGCAUUUCCUUCCAAUUUUUUUGUGAUAAACUAAUAGAUAAUUGACUAAAUAAACAUCGUGCAAAGUUUCAAUAAAAAUUUCCAAGUUUUUCUUACAAUUUCCGUGGUUUCCAUAUUAUUUUUAUCGAUAUCGAUAAUAUCCCGAUAUUUCCAUCGAUAUUUCCGUGUUUUUGGACUACCGAUAUUUCCGAUAUCAUCGAUAUUUUAUACCUUGGUUAUGAUCAUACUUCUUUUUUUUAUGGGGUAUAAUAUCCACACACCUAUUUUUACUUCUCACACAUCCUUUUAAUUUUCGGUCGUCGGAUUGAAUGAAUUGAAGAAAAUUAACGGAUAUAAAUUAACAAAUGAUGUGUGAGAAGUAAAAAGGGUGUGUGGAUAGCACACCCCUUUUUUAUAAGAGUUAUGAUCAUACUUUUAUAUAGUUUACUAAUUUUCCUAAUAAUGUCAUUCAUUGGUUAAAACUUGUCAUCAAUAAGUUAAAAAUCCCUCGAAGGUCUUUCUUUAUACUUUGUUUGUAGUCACAAAUAUCAAUUUCAUGUGAAAAUUCCAAUAAGAAAAUUAUUUUAAAAAUGCAGGGAGAUAGGGUAAGGGGAAGAUUUUUUCUGUGUCUUCCGUAGGAAUGAGGUGGUCUGGUAUUCUGAUCUUAGAAUUUUUUGCAUUAGAGAUGCUCUAAGAGCACCUCCACCCCAAAAAAUCAAGGUUGGAGCCUGCGGGUAGGUGCACUCAGCCAUUCAACAAGAAAUCAGGGUUCGGGCCCCCGGGUAGGUGCACUUAUUAGCCAUUUUGAAGUGAUGUGGCUCUUCCUGAGCUGUUGGAUUUCCAUCGGCUAUAUUUCUAGGACAUUGGAUUUUCAAUGGUAAAAAAAGUUUGAAAUCCAACCCCAACGUCUAGAUGACGUGUAAACUUUUGGACUGUUUCGAUCAAUGGUCUAGAUUUUUUGGCCUAAAAAAAUCUGAAAAUUUUCAAUUGUUAAUAAUACGUGUCACAAUCUAGGCUGUUCGAUUACAAUUCUUUUGUAAUCCAACCGUCCAUACUAAUUAAAUUAUUAAAAAUAUAUAUUAAAAAAAAAGUUUACACUUUUUACCUGUAAAUACCUAAACAUUCUCUUCCACCUUACACCAUAUUCAAUAUUUUCAAAUACUUUCAACUAAUCUCAAAGUUUUCAUAUGCUUUUGUUUGCAAAAAAAUGGCUAAUGAUGCAAGUUUGAAUUGGUCAAUCAUUGAAUAUGUUACGUUAUGUGAAUGUUGAGGUCAAGCUACUCAUGAUCUGAUUAUGGGGCAUGAGCAGAAGUUGUGAGAACUUUGGAAGAUUGUUUGUACCUUGUUUUAUGAGAAGUUGGGUGCUAGAAAAACAAAUCAAGCUCUUCAAAGUUGGUGGAAAAUGCUCAACCAAUCGUUCACUAGUUGAAGAAACAUCCUCGCUAAAGCUUGUUAUAAUCUUCAAAGUGGCAAAAAUUCAUUAGAUUAGUUGACAAUAUUGUAUUUAUUUAUUUGUAUUACCCCCAAAUUGACAUUAAUUAGUUUGAAUACAACUUAUUUUCUCCCUUUUUUAUAGGCACUUCAAACACAAGCUUGGUACAAUAUGGCCAACAAGAACUAGGGAUGUCAAUUCUAACUGUUAAACCAGAUAACCAUGGAUAACCACUCAAAUGGAACAAAUUUGGGUAUGAAAAUUCGAGUAUAUUUUGGAUAUGGGAAAAAACCGUGAAUACUAUUUGGUUAUGGUUUUGGAUGGUUAUAGAGGUCCCAAUCCGUAUCAGUACCUGAAUCCAACCCGAAUAACAUAUAAUAUAGUAGUAUAAUUUUGUAUAUAUGUGUGUGUGCAUGUUCAUUAUUCACCGAAUCUGUUAUCUUGACAAUACAAAAGUUGUAUUGUGUGAGUUGCAAUUUGUAGGAAAGUUCAAAAGUUUUGAAUUAAAAUCAAUGAGAAUACAAUGAUGCUUAUGAGAGAUAUUAAAGAUCAGCCAACAUUAUCAAUAUUUUAAAUUCAAUCUUUUAAUUUUUAUACUCCACAAGAUCCAUUCAUUAAAUCAUUUUAUAUAUCAAAUGUUUAAUAUCUACUAAAUUAUAAUGCGUUAAUUAAACGAAUAUAUGUUUUGUAUUGACGAAGAUGGAUAUAACCGUUAACCUAUGAGAAUCCGAUACUUGGUGGGUAUGGUUAUGGAUAACCCUCGAUGGUUAAUUCACAAUUAUGGAUGUAGUUAAUUUUCGUGGUUAUAGGGAUGGUAUAUAUUUUCGUUCCCCAAACCGAACCGUUGCCAUCCCUAGCAAGAAUAAAUCAUUCAACCACUAUGAAUGUAGGAAUGUUGUCAAAGAUUGUCCCAAAUACAAAAGUAUGUCAAUCGGUACAAAAGUUAUCAUGAACGACACCCCUCCACACUCUACGCCAGGAGAAGACUCGCCUGUUUAGGAAGGUGACACAUUUGAAGUGUCAGAAUCGACCAGUGAAGAAGUGCCGGAACAAACCUGUCAUUCGCUUAGGCCUCAAGGUAAGAAGGCUGUAAAGAAAAAAAAGGAGAUUGUGAUUAUACAAAAUAUAUGGAAGAACUUAAUCUCGGCAAGGUGAAGUGAGUUUGGCAUGGUAUGUGGCCAGAAUUGAGGCUAAAGCUAUCGCUACUAAGAGACAAAAGAGCUACUUAGGCUAAAAAGAGAGAUGCUUAGAGAAGAAAGAAGGGGAGAAAGAUUGUGAAAUUAUGAACAAGCCUAUAGAACGAAUGUCUUCGAAUUCUAAAUAUUUUUGGAAAACGGAAAAAACGACGUAAUGCGGAUGAGGCGUGCAAGAGAAGAGGGACAAAGUGGAGAUGGUCUCGAGCACCACAAAUUCAUUAGGUGAUUUGUAGGGAAUUUGUUGUAAAAUCGGAGCCCAUUAUUUACUGUUCACUUUGGGUUGUAAUUCGGUAUUUAUCCAAUUUGGUAUGUUAUUAAAACUAAGAAAAUCGUUAAAAAAUCCUAUCCGAAAUUUAGGAAUACAAUAAUCUUUUAUUAUUUUAUAAAAAAAUUAUUCUAAACCAAUAGCAUGCUAUUCAGUUUAAGGAUGAAGAUGCACUUGGACAGUUACAGUUCACUAAACACAGUAAGGCCAUCUCCAACCGAAGGGUCCAGAGGGCCAGAGGGCCGAAAAUAGCCCUAAAACCGUCUCCAACCGAGGGCUAGGCCAGAGGGCUCUGGAAUUUGGGAGGACCCCACGGGAUCGGAGAGGGCUGGAGGGCUGGCUGCUUUCGGCCAGCCAGCCAGCCCCGGGCUGGCUCUUUUUUUUGUUAAUGUUUUGUUAUUCCUGUCGGUUAUAACCGACAGGAAUACAUGCUAUUAUUUAAUAUAAUAAAUAAUGGUGUAUUCCUGUCGGUUAUAACCAACAGGAUUGUUUUAAAAAAAAUUCAAAUGAAACGGCUACUAGCCAUUGCAUUUGAUUUGUUUUUUUUUUUUUACAUUAUUAUUAUUCUUUUUUAUUUACAACAUUUUUCAUAUAACUUCUAUUUUUUCCUAUAACUUCUAUUUCACAAAAUUUGGUUUUUUUUAAAUUCCAUUUUUUUUCCUAUAACUUCUAUUUCACAACUUCUAUUUCACAAAAUUUGUUUCAUAUUUUUUUUUCCUAUAACUUCUAUUUCACAAAAUUUACUUCAUAUUGUUUUUUAAAUUCCAUUUUUUUCCUAUAACUUCUAUUUCACAAAAUUUGUUUCAUAUUUUUUUUAAAUUCCAUUUUUUUUCCUAUAACUUCUAUUUGACAAAAUUUGUUUCAUAUUUUUUUUAAAUUCUAUUUUUUUCCUAUAACUUCCUAAGCCAUUAUACAACAUUAAAUUAAAUUAAGUAACAUGAAACAACAUUAAACAAUAUGAAACAACAUUAAAUAAAAUUAACCAACAUAAAAAUUAUACAACAUGAAACUUAAACAACAUUUUAGUUGUGGUUUUUAAAUAAUAAAUUAUGUAUGGCCCUCGGUUGGAGACGGUUUUUUGUGAUAGGGCUAAAACGAGCCCUCUGGCCCUCUGGCCCUCGGUUGGAGACGGAGGCAAAUAUGACCCUGUACUGUUCAUUAAAAUAUUAAUAUCUUGGAGAAUCUUGGAGGGCCAGAGGGCUAAAACGAGCCCUCUGGCCAGCCUUCGGUUGGAGAUGGCCUAAUUACCUUGCUCAAUAGCCUUAACAGUAAUCGCUUGGGCCAUUUGAUAGGGGUAAAGGUGCUCUAAGGAUUACCUUAUUUAUUGUGUUGAAAAACAAAAUCCAAUAUAAGGAAAUACGUCUACUUUUAACAAAGAACAAAAAUCCAACAACAAAAAAAGAAAAUGAAUAAAAAAGAAUAAUUCAAAUGUCAUCAAUAAUUUAUUGUGGCCAGUGGCCAUUGUCUGAGAAACUGUGGUCACUUAUUGUAGCAUCGUUCGAUCUUAAUUUACGGUAGGUGAUCAUGUAACUUUUAUGUUUUGUAUUUUUUCCUAUAUCGUUGAAUUAAGAUCAAAUGGUACUUAAAACGAGAUUCUAUAAGUAUAAUCCAAAAUUUGCAACAUUUCACCACUCAUAUAAUACCUUAGCUUCUUCAACUAUUUCAAAGCCGCAUUCGUCAGCAUUAGGGAUGGGCAAAUACCCAUUGGUUAUGGGUAACCGUGGUUAUCUGCUUAUUUAAAUUUGACGGUUAUGGUUAUGGGUAACCGUUUAGAUAAAUAAACAGUUAUGGGUAUAACCGUUUACCCGUGAAAUUUAAAUGGGCAAUUAUGUGUAUUAUCUGUGGAGUACCCAUUUAACCAUUUAUUUUAAUAUAUGUAAAACUUAAAAAAAAAAAUUAGUUUCUAGCUAAGUUUAGUAUCCCGAAACAUAUUUGGCUAUAAAGGGCCAUAAUAUAUAUGCCUCACUUGAGAGAAAAAAAUAGUUAAUAGAACAGGCCAAUGUUUAAUAUAUGUGAUUGAAUGUGCUAAAGCAUUAGAGUAUUCGACAGUUUUGUUUUGGAGUCUUUUGGAGCUUUGGCCAAUUCAAGAUAAUGAUUACUUUGAGUUUUUAGAAACACGUCAUUGUCGGCUGAUGUGUACCUAUAUAUAUGUGUGUGAGUAUAUAUUUAAUUGGCCUCGGGUUUUCAAUAAGUAUUUGACCCAAAAUUUAGAAAUCAAUUAAAUGGCUUGGAUCUAUGAACAUAUGUUUCUAAAUAAAAAUCCAAAUAUUUAUCAAAUUAGCUUAUUAGCAGACUGAUGCGUACUUACAUAUAUAUAUAUAUAUAUAUAUAUAUAUGUAUGUAUGUAUACAAGAAUAUUAAUUAACCUACAACCAUGCAUGAUUCUUGUAAUAGAUUGACUGUCAAAUAAUUGGGAGACAUCACAUAUAUUCAUAAAUAAUAUUGCCGUUAAUACAAAAAUUCAUGUUAAAUGUAUUUAUAACGGUAUUUAAUUGUUAGAAAAAGAAAAUUAUGCAAAUUUCUUUUUAAUUUUCAAGUUGUUAAAAAAAUAGGUAGACGGGUGAAAAAAAAAAAGAGUAAACGGGUUUAAAAUGGGUAAACUGGUAAGCGGUUAUGGGUAAAUGGGUAUGCGGUUAUGGGUAUGGUAAACCGUUUAUAAACGGUUAUGGCUAUGGGUAUACCCGUUUAUGUAAAUACCCAACGGGUAAACGGUUAUGCGGGUAAAAACUUUAACGGUUAUAGGUAAAUAACCGCGAUUACCCGCCCGCCAUAACCGUUGUCCAUCCCUAGUCAGCAUCUUAACCAUUACUCACCCUCUUUUUCUCUAUCUUAUUUUAUAGACUCGGCUGGGGUUCAAAUUCCACCUUUAUGUUUUUAAAAACCUCUUUGCUUAGAACAAAAUUAAAGAACAAAAAUAAUACUCUCUUAAUACUUUUUCUUUUUGCUCAAAAAUCCAUCGCCAUUCCAUCAGUUGCAAACUAGCAAUCAUCUACCAAACUCAAAUAGCCAUUCCUUUGAAAUCAAGUUCCCUCAACCAGUCACACUCCCACCUCACCUUGUAACUCAAUUCACUUCUCAUGACAGUUCCUUCUUACUCGACUCUAGUUCUAAAUAAAAAAUAUACCUCUAAAUCCCAUACUUGCCUUUAAGGACCCCGUACGUAGAUGUGAGGUUUUAUCACAAAAUGCUUGGAUUUUAUUUUAACACAAGCUUUGUAUCCAAUACUUGUUUUAGUGUCUAUGAGCUCGUUUGAUACAUAUGAUUGGAUUGGAAUGGAGAAUCGUGUUCCCGGCACAUAGAAAAAUAUCUUCUCCCCACACCUCAUCAAUUAAUAAUUCUUACCAGAACAAAGUCUACUCCGCAUAAAUUAUGGGGUUAAUGAAACAUCCACAAGAAUCUUUCAAAAAAUUGUCAGCUACUCAAAACGGUUCAUAAUUAGACCGCAGUAUUUGAUUCACCAAACUGCCCAAACGCAUUAUUAUUGUAGUGGAAGUACACACUUAUAAUUUGUAUACUAUUUUGUCAAGGUUUUGACGUGAGAUUUUACAUUCUUCAACACAAAGAAGGCGCGGGAAAAUGUUAGGAUUAAGGCGGUCCAUUAAUUCAAAUCACCUCAAAAUGUUCACAAAAACAUACUUACAAUAGUAAGCAGUUGGGGUUCAAAUUCCUCCAGCAAAAGGGCGUAAUAGAAAGCUUUACAAGUUGUCAAACUAAUAGCAAAUAUAUCCCUUUUUCUUAAUAAAAUGUGGUUCCCAUGAAAUUAAAAUAAACCCUAUAGUUAUUUGUGGAUGAGGAAAUACAAGAAUAGUUGGUUGAUCUUUCUUAAUCCAUUUCACCUUCUGCAGAAACAUUUGAACUAACAAAUAAGCCAAAGGUUUCAUUUCUUAGAGAGCAAACACCAACAUUUCAUGUCCUCGAUAUAUAUAAAACAUGUUUUAUGACCUGCAGGAAGAAUCACGGUUCAAAAGGUUAACAACACAAUGAAUUGGAACCUCUUGCGUCCUGAGUAUGCAACAUGGCAACCCGAAUGGACUGAGGAAGAAAUCCGAUCAACAUUCUUCAAAUGCACAAAAUGGCAGGUGGAAGAAACGUUGGAUCCAAUCAACUGCCCUUACCACUACUACUGUACCAGUUCUUAUGCCGGAAACUAUUCGCAGGCUGUGGAUUUUCUGCUUCUGUUCUUUGCAGCAGCUUCAUACUUGGCAACCCUAGUCUUUAUGGUAAUGCACGUAUCAGGAAAGGGCCAAAAAAGUAUUCAGUCAAAAAGAUAUUUGCUCCCGUCCGGUCCGGUUGCCCUUCCAUUGAUCAUCUUGGCCUUAGCCUACGGCCACCGGAUCAACUCCGCCUUUCCUCUCUCAUGCACUGGCCCGGCAAUCCUCAUUCUCGUUCUGAUAUCUGCGCUGACCUUCGACAAUGGAGCCCAGUCAGACUUCAAGUACGU